GGGUUAGUUUUUUGGGGUUCUAGAUCCAGAUUUUGGGGUUCCAGGUUGAAAUUUUUGGGAUUCUGGGUGUGAAUUUUUUCAGGUUCUGGAUUUGAAUUUUUUGGGGUCCUAGUUCCAGAUUUUUCGGGGUUCCAGGUUAAAAUUUUGGGGUUCUAGGUCGGGAUUUUGGGGUUCUGAGUUUGA
Long non-coding RNA from Catharus ustulatus (Swainson's thrush), 183 nucleotides. RefSeq lists it as uncharacterized. The transcript has 3 exons. NCBI's taxonomy places the organism in Eukaryota, Metazoa, Chordata, Aves, Passeriformes, Turdidae. The record is from RefSeq and is a predicted model, not a curated record.